RNAcentral lists this ribosomal RNA (484 nucleotides) under uncultured bacterium. RNAcentral describes it as "partial 16S ribosomal RNA". It matches the Rfam family "Bacterial small subunit ribosomal RNA", at positions 29 to 507 of the family's 1533-position model. The record is from RNAcentral.
AGUGAACGCUGGCGGCAGGCCUAACACAUGCAAGUCAAGCGGCAGCGCGGGGGCAACCCUGGCGGCGAGCGGCGGACGGGUGAGGAAUUCGUCGGAAUCUGCCUUUUUGUGGGGGAUAACGUAGGGAAACUUACGCUAAUACCGCAUACGUCCUACGGGAGAAAGUGGGGGACCGCAAGGCCUCACGCAGAAAGAUGAGCCGACGACCGAUUAGCUAGUUGGUGGGGUAAAGGCCCACCAAGGCGACGAUCGGUAGCUGGUCUGAGAGGAUGAUCAGCCACACUGGGACUGAGACACGGCCCAGACUCCUACGGGAGGCAGCAGUGGGGAAUAUUGGACAAUGGGCGCAAGCCUGAUCCAGCCAUGCCGCGUGUGUGAAGAAGGCCUUCGGGUUGUAAAGCACUUUUGUCCGGAAAGAAAUCCCUGGAGCUAAUACCUUCGGGGGAUGACGGUACCGGAAGAAUAAGCACCGGCUAACUUCGUG